ACUGCUGCCGCUCCCUCUAUUCCACAGCCACUGAUUCCACUGCAAGAGAGGAUUAUGGCGUGGUGAAAUCCGGCGUCCGGGCUGUGGCCAGCGGCAAGACCAGAGAUUUCGCUGCUACCCCCGCCCGUCUCCGACGCACUUAGUGAACUGGAGCUAUCGCGGGUAGCGCCAUCAGUCUCCGGCGCGCUUCGCCGCCGGGAGCCGUGGGGUGGGUUUAGAAGGCGGUGAGACGGGAGUCGUCGCCACUAGCUAGCGUCGCGCACCUUCGGCAUGCUGAGCUGCUGGGGCCGUGGUCUUAGCUGGAGGAAAGAUGGGAUCCGUCGCGGCUAGCUCUGCUCGCCUCAGGGGCGCUGCGGCACGCCCGACCGUGUCCUUGGCCGGCGGCAAGAUGGGAGCCAUCACGGCUAGUGGUGCCCGUCUCCGGCGCACCCAAGGCCAUGCCAAGGUUCUGUCCAGCCCGCUCCGUGGGAGAUGGUGCCAUGGUGGAACUGCUGCACCGUCAGCCGGUGGCCGAGAUGCCGCGCAGUCGCACUAGAAGGUGCGAGCUUGAUGCAGACUCAACAGGAAAAGGAGCAAGAACAUACCUACAGACAACGAAGUGCCAGGAGCUCCGUCCAUGCUGAAGAAUACCGUAGAUGUUGAUCCACGGAGAGGACAAUUUUCUGUCAAUCUUGAUCUAUUCUCCUCCCAUCCGGGGUGGGUAACAAUGGAAAUAAAUUGGUAGGACAAAGGAUGAAGCCACGAAAGAGAUUUUGGCGGCAAUCUGUUGUUACGCGGGAGAGAAAGAUGUGGUUUCGCUGAUUUUCUGGAACCUAACUGCAAUCAGAGAGAUAUGCUGGGUUGUUUAAGUGGUGGGGUCCACCAGGACACGUGCUGGCCUCUGAUUCGCCCUGCACGAUAGUGCGUGCUGGGAACCCAGCAGGAGAGCCCGACCCGGUAACAAUGAAAAUAGAUUGGUAGGACAAAGGAUGAAGCCACGAAAGAGAUUUUGGCGGCAAUCUGUUGUUACGCGGGAGAGAAAGAUGUGGUUUCGUUGAUUUUCUGGAACCUAACUGCAAUCAGAGAGAUAUGCUGGGUUGUUUAAGUGGUGGGGUCCACCAGGACACGUGCUGACCUCUGAUUCGCCCUGCACGAUAGUGCGUGCUGGGAACCCAGCAGGAGAGCCCGACCCGGUGGCCCUAACAGUAACUCUAUGAGGCGUCCAGUCCCGCAACGGCCACGUCGCACACAAGGCUGCAGAUGUCCCAGGACUACAGCGGUUAUAGCAGCCACAAGUCCAAAGCAAGCCACUAUGAAGUACAAUUCCUUGGCACAAGAUUCAAGUUUUGAUGGACUCUGGAAUUAACGACGGAGGAAGAAAACAGAAAGGAAAACAGCCAGGGGAUACUAGUACAAGUAAUACUAAUUGGUGAACAGUAUAAAUAUUUUAUACUGCCUCACGCCAAGGCAUCUUCAAGUGGAUUCAUCAGGAUUAAUAUUCAAUACAUGGGAGUGCAAACCAAAACACUGGUAUUCUUUUCAAGGCGCUGGUUCCGCCUUCAUCUGACGAGAAUGCUAGGACAAUUAUUCCUUACAAAAGUGGUUUACACCGGUGUUUGUCCGCAUCAUAUGGUUUAACGGACAUGGGUGAGUUGCCGCCCUGUGGCCUGGAUAACAUUGAUUCACCGGACCCGUGCUUACUCGCUGCUCAAUGGACGUGCAAACUGACGUCUCUAUGACCCAAUUGACAUCAACAUGACGUGGUUGACUCGCCCGUCCGCGCGGAUUACCGCGCCUACGAUUGACUCAUCUAUCCACACCGGCUUACAACGCCGCGGCCAACUCAUCUGUGAUUGAUUUCAGCUUCACGGUAGGCAACAGCAACUCUGUGGCGGAUAAAUUCCGGCUUAACAUAUCAGGUGAAAUGCAUCCGGUAUAUUUUUUACAUAUUCAUUUCUUUAAAGGAGCAAUUACUCUGCCUUGCAAGUUUCUCAAUGCAGGACAAGUUGUCUACUGUAAAAGAGACUAUUAUAUCACUGAGCUGUUGAAUAACUCAUACCGGUUUAUAUCACGGCCAAAUAUGGAGAGUCUCAAGCCAACUCCUCGAGUAAUCUUAAGACUCGGGGGCUACAAUAACAUGACUCGGGAACUCCGGGUCAUUGGAGGGAAUGAUAACCCGGUUCCGGAGGACACCGCCACAUUGAUGAAAAUUUAAAAGCCGUUAGAACAUUGUCAGUUCAAAAUAAAGAUUCCGGUUUAAAAUCCGGUUCAAGAGACAUCUCUCUCCUGCAAAGCUUUGAAGCUCUCAAAUCCGGUUCGAACAUCCGGCUCAAGGUAUUGGGUGAUUUGUGUGUGGUCUCCUACUGGAUUGAUACCUUGGUUCUCAGACUGAGGAAAAUACUUAUCUCUACUUUGCUGCAUCACGCUUUCCUCUUCAAGAAAAAAACCAACGCAAACUCAAGAAGUAGCAGGUCACACAUUGGAGUUGGCCUCAGGGCAUGUACAAUGCAUAGCCCCAGGGUGAUGCCUCGCAUGCCAUGUAGGAUCGGAUAUCAGAUAAAGUAGGUUCGGAUAGGGAGGCGGGAUCCUCUCCAGGAGGUGGGUGAUUGGAGAGAAAAAGUGUGGUCCAGUGACAAAAAUUGAAAAAAUUGGAGUGAAAAGUAGAGAUGCAUGUGUACUAGAGUAUUUAUUUUCUAUUUCUUAA
This is a non-coding RNA of Triticum urartu, 2683 nucleotides long. The record is from RefSeq and is a predicted model, not a curated record. NCBI's taxonomy places the organism in Eukaryota, Viridiplantae, Streptophyta, Magnoliopsida, Poales, Poaceae.